UGGGGAAUCUUGCACAAUGGAGGAAACUCUGAUGCAGCGACGCCGCGUGAGCGGAGAAGCCUUUCGGGGUGUAAAGCUCUUACGCCAGGGACGAUAAUGACGGUACCUGGAGAAGCAGCUGCGGCUAACUACGUGCCAGCAGCCGCGGUAAUACGUAGGCAGCAAGCGUUGUUCGGAAUUACUGGGCGUAAAGGGUGCGUAGGCGGCGCUCUAAGUUUGGUGUGAAAUCUCCCGGCUUAACUGGGAGGGUGCACUGAAAACUGGGGCGCUCGAGUAUGGGAGAGGAAAGCGGAAUUCCUGGUGUAGCGGUGAAAUGCGUAGAGAUCAGGAGGAACACCUGCGGUGCAGACGGCUUUCUAGACCAUCACUGACGCUGAGGCACGAAAGCGUGGGUAGCAAACA
This 402-nucleotide ribosomal RNA is filed under the name uncultured bacterium. Its description in RNAcentral is "bacterial SSU rRNA". It matches the Rfam family "Bacterial small subunit ribosomal RNA", at positions 355 to 774 of the family's 1533-position model. The record is from RNAcentral.